Molecule: ribosomal RNA, 470 nt
Filed under: uncultured bacterium
Lineage: Bacteria
Description: bacterial SSU rRNA
Rfam family: Bacterial small subunit ribosomal RNA
Source: RNAcentral
GAUCCUGGCUCAGAACGAACGCUGGCGGCAUGCCUAACACAUGCAAGUCGAACGAGACUUCGGUCUAGUGGCGGACGGGUGAGUAACGCGUAGGAACCUGCCAAGCAGUGGGGAAUAACAGCUGGAAACGGCUGCUAAUACCGCAUACGCCCUUCGGGGGAAAGAUUUAUCGCUGUUUGAGGGUCCUGCGUUCGAUUAGCUAGUUGGUGAGGUAACGGCCCACCAAGGCGACGAUCGAUAGCUGGUCUGAGAGGAUGAUCAGCCACACUGGGACUGAGACACGGCCCAGACUCCUACGGGAGGCAGCAGUGGGGAAUAUUGGACAAUGGGCGAAAGCCUGAUGCAGCAAUGCCGCGUGUGUGAAGAAGGCCUGCGGGUUGUAAAGCACUUUCAGUAGGGAGGAAACAGUAGCCGGUUAAUAUCCGGUUGCCUUGACGUUACCUACAGAAGAAGCACCGGCUAACUCUGUG